GACAGAGGGUGCAAACGUUGCUCGGAAUUACUGGGCGUAAAGCGCGUGUAGGCGGACCUGUAAGUUGGACGUGAAAGCCCUGGGCUCAACCCAGGAAUUGCAUCCAAAACUACAGGCCUAGAGUGAUGGAGAGGGUAGCAGAAUUCCUGGUGUAGAGGUGAAAUGCGUAGAUAUCGGGAGGAACACCUGUGGCGAAAGCGGCGCACUGGACCACAACUGACGCUGAG
Molecule: ribosomal RNA, 227 nt
Filed under: uncultured prokaryote
Description: partial 16S ribosomal RNA
Rfam family: Bacterial small subunit ribosomal RNA
Source: RNAcentral